GACGAACGCUGGCGGCGUGCUUAACACAUGCAAGUCGAACGGAAAGGCCUGCUUUCCCUUGUGGAUUGCGGGUACUCGAGUGGCGAACGGGUGAGUAACACGUGAGUGAUCUGCCCCCAACUUGGGUAUAAGCCUGGGAAACUGGGUCUAAUUCCCGAUAGGACUGCAGGGUGGUGCCUGUGGUGGAAAACGAUUUUCUAGUGGUUGGGGAUGAGCUCGCGGCCUAUCAGCUUGUUGGUGGGAUAAUGGCCUACCAAGGCGGCGACGGGUAGCCGGCCUGAGAGGGUGGACGGCCACAUUGGGACUGAGAUACGGCCCAGACUCCUACGGGAGGCAGCAGUGGGGAAUAGUGCACAAUGGGCGGAAGCCUGAUGCAGCGACGCCGCGUGGGGGAUGACGGCCUUCGGGUUGUAAACUCCUUUCGACCGCGAGGAAGCCACCUGGUUGGAAGGGUGGUGACGGUAGUGGUAGAAGAAGCACCGGCUAACUACGUG
This 494-nucleotide ribosomal RNA is filed under the name uncultured bacterium. Its description in RNAcentral is "partial 16S ribosomal RNA". It matches the Rfam family "Bacterial small subunit ribosomal RNA", at positions 28 to 507 of the family's 1533-position model. The record is from RNAcentral.